AGAUUAAGUUAUUAAGGGCGCACGGUGGAUGCCUUGGCACUAGAAGCCGAUGAAGGACGUUACUAACGACGAUAUGCUUUGGGGAGCUGUAAGUAAGCUUUGAUCCAGAGAUUUCCGAAUGGGGAAACCCAGCAUGAGUUAUGUCAUGUUAUCGAUAUGUGAAUACAUAGCAUAUCAGAAGGCACACCCGGAGAACUGAAACAUCUUAGUACCCGGAGGAAGAGAAAGAAAAUUCGAUUCCCUUAGUAGCGGCGAGCGAAACGGGAAGAGCCCAAACCAACAAGCUUGCUUGUUGGGGUUGUAGGACACUCUAUACGGAGUUACAAAGGACGACAUUAGACGAAUCAUCUGGAAAGAUGAAUCAAAGAAGGUAAUAAUCCUGUAGUCGAAAAUGUUGUCUCUCUUGAGUGGAUCCUGAGUACGACGGAGCACGUGAAAUUCCGUCGGAAUCUGGGAGGACCAUCUCCUAAGGCUAAAUACUCUCUAGUGACCGAUAGUGAACCAGUACCGUGAGGGAAAGGUGAAAAGCACCCCGGAAGGGGAGUGAAAUAGAACCUGAAACCGUGUGCUUACAAGUAGUCAGAGCCCGUUAAUGGGUGAUGGCGUGCCUUUUGUAGAAUGAACCGGCGAGUUACGAUUUGAUGCAAGGUUAAGCAGUAAAUGUGGAGCCGUAGCGAAAGCGAGUCUGAAUAGGGCGUUUAGUAUUUGGUCGUAGACCCGAAACCAGGUGAUCUACCCUUGGUCAGGUUGAAGUUCAGGUAACACUGAAUGGAGGACCGAACCGACUUACGUUGAAAAGUGAGCGGAUGAACUGAGGGUAGCGGAGAAAUUCCAAUCGAACCUGGAGAUAGCUGGUUCUCUCCGAAAUAGCUUUAGGGCUAGCCUCAAGUGAUGAUUAUUGGAGGUAGAGCACUGUUUGGACGAGGGGCCCCUCUCGGGUUACCGAAUUCAGACAAACUCCGAAUGCCAAUUAAUUUAACUUGGGAGUCAGAACAUGGGUGAUAAGGUCCGUGUUCGAAAGGGAAACAGCCCAGACCACCAGCUAAGGUCCCAAAAUAUAUGUUAAGUGGAAAAGGAUGUGGCGUUGCCCAGACAACUAGGAUGUUGGCUUAGAAGCAGCCAUCAUUUAAAGAGUGCGUAAUAGCUCACUAGUCGAGUGACACUGCGCCGAAAAUGUACCGGGGCUAAACAUAUUACCGAAGCUGUGGAUUGUCCUUUGGACAAUGGUAGGAGAGCGUUCUAAGGGCGUUGAAGCAUGAUCGUAAGGACAUGUGGAGCGCUUAGAAGUGAGAAUGCCGGUGUGAGUAGCGAAAGACGGGUGAGAAUCCCGUCCACCGAUUGACUAAGGUUUCCAGAGGAAGGCUCGUCCGCUCUGGGUUAGUCGGGUCCUAAGCUGAGGCCGACAGGCGUAGGCGAUGGAUAACAGGUUGAUAUUCCUGUACCACCUAUAAUCGUUUUAAUCGAUGGGGGGACGCAGUAGGAUAGGCGAAGCGUGCGAUUGGAUUGCACGUCUAAGCAGUAAGGCUGAGUAUUAGGCAAAUCCGGUACUCGUUAAGGCUGAGCUGUGAUGGGGAGAAGACAUUGAGUCUUCGAGUCGUUGAUUUCACACUGCCGAGAAAAGCCUCUAGAUAGAAAAUAGGUGCCCGUACCGCAAACCGACACAGGUAGUCAAGAUGAGAAUUCUAAGGUGAGCGAGCGAACUCUCGUUAAGGAACUCGGCAAAAUGACCCCGUAACUUCGGGAGAAGGGGUGCUCUUUAGGGUUAACGCCCAGAAGAGCCGCAGUGAAUAGGCCCAAGCGACUGUUUAUCAAAAACACAGGUCUCUGCUAAACCGUAAGGUGAUGUAUAGGGGCUGACGCCUGCCCGGUGCUGGAAGGUUAAGAGGAGUGGUUAGCUUCUGCGAAGCUACGAAUCGAAGCCCCAGUAAACGGCGGCCGUAACUAUAACGGUCCUAAGGUAGCGAAAUUCCUUGUCGGGUAAGUUCCGACCCGCACGAAAGGCGUAACGAUUUGGGCACUGUCUCAACGAGAGACUCGGUGAAAUCAUAGUACCUGUGAAGAUGCAGGUUACCCGCGACAGGACGGAAAGACCCCGUGGAGCUUUACUGUAGCCUGAUAUUGAAAUUCGGCACAGCUUGUACAGGAUAGGUAGGAGCCUUUGAAACGUGAGCGCUAGCUUACGUGGAGGCGCUGGUGGGAUACUACCCUAGCUGUGUUGGCUUUCUAACCCGCACCACUUAUCGUGGUGGGAGACAGUGU
This 2259-nucleotide ribosomal RNA is filed under the name Staphylococcus aureus. RNAcentral describes it as "partial 23S ribosomal RNA". It matches the Rfam family "Bacterial large subunit ribosomal RNA", at positions 1 to 2257 of the family's 2925-position model. Lineage: Bacteria; Bacillati; Bacillota; Bacilli; Caryophanales; Staphylococcaceae. The record is from RNAcentral.